RNAcentral lists this ribosomal RNA (442 nucleotides) under uncultured bacterium. RNAcentral describes it as "partial 16S ribosomal RNA". It matches the Rfam family "Bacterial small subunit ribosomal RNA", at positions 338 to 795 of the family's 1533-position model. The record is from RNAcentral.
CCUACGGGAGGCUGCAGUGGGGAAUAUUGGGCAAUGGACGCAAGUCUGACCCAGCAACGCCGCGUGAAGGAAGAAGGCUUUCGGGUUGUAAACUUCUUUUAAGGGGGAAGAGCAGAAGACGGUACCCCUUGACUAAGCCACGGCUAACUACGUGCCAGCAGCCGCGGUUAUACGUAGGUGGCAAGCGUGGUCCGGAUUUACUGGGGGUAAAGGGCGUGCAGCCGGAGAGACAAGUCAGAGGUGAAAUCCACGGGCUCAACCCGUGAACUGCAUUUGAAACUGUUUCCCUUGAGUGUCGGAGAGGGAAUCGGAAUUCCUAGGGUAGCGGGGAAAUGCGUAGAUAUUAGGAAGAACACCAGUGGCGAAGGCGGAUUACUGGACGAUAACUGACGGUGAGGCGCGAAAGCGUGGGGAGCAAACAGGAUUAGAUACCCUGGUAGUC